Molecule: long non-coding RNA, 16 nt
Filed under: Pan troglodytes (chimpanzee)
Lineage: Eukaryota; Metazoa; Chordata; Mammalia; Primates; Hominidae
Description: lincRNA
Source: RNAcentral
AGCACGAAGUUGGAGA